This 23-nucleotide microRNA is filed under the name Gallus gallus (chicken). RNAcentral's name for it is "gga-miR-6620-5p". The record is from miRBase by way of RNAcentral. Lineage: Eukaryota; Metazoa; Chordata; Aves; Galliformes; Phasianidae.
AGAGAUGGAAGCGCUGCGCACGG